UCAGGCCUAACACAUGCAAGUCGAACGGCAGCACGGACUUCGGUCUGGUGGCGAGUGGCGAACGGGUGAGUAAUGUAUCGGAACGUGCCUAGUAGCGGGGGAUAACUACUCGAAAGAGUAGCUAAUACCGCAUACGCCCUACGGGGGAAAGGGGGGGAUCGCAAGACCUCUCACUAUUAGAGCGGCCGAUAUCGGAUUAGCUAGUUGGUGAGGUAAAGGCUCACCAAGGCGACGAUCCGUAGCUGGUUUGAGAGGACGACCAGCCACACUGGGACUGAGACACGGCCCAGACUCCUACGGGAGGCAGCAGUGGGGAAUUUUGGACAAUGGGGGCAACCCUGAUCCGGCCAUUCCGCGUGUGCGAUGAAGGCCUUCGGGUUGUAAAGGACUGUUGGCAGGAAAGAAAUCGCACGGGUUAAUAACCCGUGUGGAUGAC
RNAcentral lists this ribosomal RNA (436 nucleotides) under uncultured bacterium. RNAcentral describes it as "bacterial SSU rRNA". It matches the Rfam family "Bacterial small subunit ribosomal RNA", at positions 42 to 473 of the family's 1533-position model. The record is from RNAcentral.